Molecule: long non-coding RNA, 2638 nt
Filed under: Homo sapiens (human)
Lineage: Eukaryota; Metazoa; Chordata; Mammalia; Primates; Hominidae
Description: HSALNT0298576
Source: RNAcentral
UGAGCCAUGAUCGUACCACUGCACUCCAGCCUGGGCAACACAGCGAGACCCUGACUCCACAAAUAAAUAAAUCAACAUCAUAUGAUCUGUACCAGGGUAUAGGCAGGUGCUAUGAUCCCCACUUUUCAUCCUCAACUCUAAGUUGAGUCAUACAUCAACCUCUAGUAAAAAGUGGCAUGCUCUCAGUCAAAGGGGUAAGCCCAAACCACGCGGAGAGAAUCUUAUCUCUUUUGAGAGCUAAUAUAAAAAGAAUUCCUCCUAGGCAUAAAAAUAUUGUGACACCAGUUACUUAGGCUAAACAUGCCUAUUAUGCUAAGUGAGUUAUUAACAAUAAAUACUUUAACUCUGUGCCAUGUUAAUUAUCAUAAUCUGAUUUAUAAUUUGUUUUAACCUUAGGUUAUAUAUACCUUGAAGCCAUUUAUAUUUUGGUAUACUUGUAAUAAUUACUAUACACCGGACUAUGUAUAUUGGACUAAACACGGAGAGUCAAAAAAGAGUAUGUGGUCAGAGUAGAAAUCAUGCCCUAGCUUCCUUCGUGUCUACCUCCUACCUUGAGUAGAAGUGGUAGAAAAAGUAAUUACCUAAGAUUUUUUGGAUUCUGGUUUGUGGAGAAGCACCCUUAUAUUUAGGCUGAUGGGCGGCAAAAUUAGAAAGUAUUUUUUGUGAUUUAGAAUUUUAUACGGAGAUGUUCAUUGUGAUUAAUUAUUCUUUGUAUUAGCAGAUUUUUGCUUUUUAUAGCUGCAUGAUUUCUUGUUUAUUAUUCAUUCAUUAUUGUCUAUUAAUAAAGAAAAACUUUAUUUCACUGAAGCAGUGAUAUAUAAUCCAACUUGGAUUUUUAAAUAAUGACUGACUUUUUUUCUUUGGGAAUACAUUACUGUUAAAAAUGUAAUUAUUAGAUACAUUACUUUUAAUGAAUAUAAGUGGUAUAAUUAGAAGGCUGAAAAGAAUCCUUGGAAAUGUGAGUUUAAUUUGAUAGCUAAGAAACUGAGGACAAGUUACUUAUUCUUUGUAGCAUAUUUUCUAAUGUCAUUUCAUUGUCUCACCAAGAAAUACUUGCAUAAAGCAAGUUCAAUUACAGCAUCUGUUGAAUAUUUAAGGUUGAGUAAAGUGGGUGAGUUUAACAGAUAUUUUCCCUUAUUUCUUUUAGGCGAAUCUGGAUUGGGAAAGUUGAUAUUAAUCAACUCAUUAUUCCUCACAGAUUUGUAUUCUCCAGAGUAUCCAGGUCCUUCUCAGAGAAUUAAAAAGCCUGUACAGGUCUACAUAUUGGUAUUUUUAAUUGAUGAUAAGCUGGAAUAAUAUUAAUACACACAAAGCACGUGUUGUAACUUUCAUUAUGCUUCCCUAGAGGUGGAACAAUCCAAAGUUUUAAUCAGAGAAGGUGGUGUUCAGUUGCUGCUUACAAUAGUUGAUACCCCAGUAUUUGGAGAUGCAGUGGAUAACAGUAAUUGGUAAAAAGGAUUUGUCCUCACAACUUUCCAGUGUAUUUGGGGUACUGGGGUGGUUAAACUUUCUCUUCUUAACAUUUUAAAACUCUUCUUAGCAAAGGUCACCAAACUUCAAGUAACAUGACAGGUUUGUAUACCAACUUUGCCACUUAUUUGACAAAGUUUAACUUCAAAGUUAAACAAAGAAGUUUAACUUCUUUGAACCCAUUUACUUUUUGAUAAAAUGGAGAUAAUACCUAUCAUAAAAUUGUUUUGAAGACAUAUUCCAAAAUAACGUAGCUAGAUAGAAGAAUUCUCAUUAUUGGAAGAAAUUUAAAAUGCUUUGCUUUAAUUUUAUCCAUUUGUAUAAAUUCUAUCACAAUCCUAAUUUAAACCUGAUAUUUAGACCUUCAGUUUUUCCAUAAGUCCUAAGUGAAGAAAACAACUAUGAAAUUUUAGUCUGAAGUAAUUAUCUUAGUAUUUUAUAAAUAACUUUAAUUUUGUUUGAAUUCACAUUGUUUUUGAGGUAUUUUUCUGUCAACUCUUAAAACUCCUAAGUUCAUCAUGAAGUUUUUAUAUUAUUUAAGUAAUCUCUCAUUUGAAAUUUGAAACUGAAUAUAAUCGUUUUCAUAUUAUGAAGUGUGUUAUUAAUACACUUACUAGUGCCAAUAGUAUGCUAAUAAUUUAGCUGUGUUUCAACAAUAAAUAUUUUCUUUCAUUUGGAAAGUUUUGAAAUAAUGAAUAAAGAUUUAUUCAACACAAUUUAUAUUUUUGAAUCUUUAUAUAGAAUAACUUGACAUAUCUUCCAUUGGUUAAUUCAUUUUGCCUAUUUGAAAAUAUUGAUUAUUGUCCUUUAACAGUCAUCAGUUAAUUCAUAUGUAGAAUUGCAACUUAAUUGUUUUGUUUAUUUGCAUUCUAUAGCUGGCAGCCUGCUAUCAAUUACAUUGAUAGUAAAUUUGAGGACUACCUAAAUGCAGAAUCGCAAGUGAACAGAUGUCAGAUGCCUGGUAACAGGGUGCAGUGUUGUUUAUACUUCAUUGCUCCUUCAGGACAUGGACCAUUACAUAACUGAAGACUCCCACCUUCAGGCAGGUUUGGGUAGUACACGUUUGUAACUACCUGGCAUUGCCUUUUGUUGAAGUAAUUUCAGUUUUUAUUAGUAGUAGUAGUAGUAUACUUUAAGUUCUACAGUAUAUGUUCACAAUGUGCAGGUU